Ailuropoda melanoleuca (giant panda) is the source of this 2793-nucleotide RNA transcript. It is a transcript of the gene named XK related 8, with no coding region annotated. The transcript is spliced from 6 exons. NCBI's taxonomy places the organism in Eukaryota, Metazoa, Chordata, Mammalia, Carnivora, Ursidae. The record is from RefSeq and is a predicted model, not a curated record.
GGCCCCUAGGGCUGCGUCCGCCUCCUUCCUGCCGCGGCGACCCCGGGCCCAGAGGGCGGGUUGGAGCCUGGAGGAGAAGGAGGGCGAGAGGCUGGCGGGUCAUGCCCUGGUUGCCCCGCGCCGCGCUCCUUUGGGACGUGGUCCUGGGCUUUUUGGGCACCGCCGCCUUCCUGAUCGACCUGGGCGCCGACCUGUGGGCCGCGGGCCAGUAUGUGCUCAGCGGCCGCUACCUGUGUGCGGCGAUGGUGUUGGCGCUGCUGGGCCUCGCCUCCGUCGCGCUGCAGCUCUUCAGCUGGGUCUGGUUGCGCGCCGACCCCGCCGGCUUGCACGCGCCACAGCCCCCGGGCCGCUGCCUGGCGCUGCUGCACGUCCUGCAGCUGGGCUACCUGUACAGGUGUGUGCAGGGGCUGCAGCAGGGGCUCCUGGUGUGGCAGCAGGAGGCGCCCUCCGAGUUUGACCUGGCUUACGCCGACUUCCUAACGCUGGACAUCAGCAUGCUGCGGCUCUUCGAGACCUUCUUGGAGACGACUCCCCAGCUCACGCUGGUGCUGGCCAUCGUCUUGCAGAGUGGCCGGGCCGAGUCCUACCAGUGGGUCGGCAUCUGCACGUCCUUCGUGGGCAUCUCGUGGGCGCUGCUUGACUACCACCGGGCCUUGCGCACCUGCCUCCCCUCCAAGUCGCCCCUGGGGCUGGGCUCGUCCGUGGUCUACUUCCUGUGGAACCUGCUGCUGCUGUGGCCCCGAGUCCUGGCCGUGGCCCUCUUCUCCGCUCUCUUCCCCCGCUACGUGGCCCUGCACUUCGUGGGCCUGUGGCUGGUGCUGCUGUUCUGGGUCUGGCUGCAGGGCACGGACUUCAUGCCAGGUGCCUGCUCGGAGUGGCUCUACCGGGCCACCGUGGCCACCAUUCUUUACUUCUGCUGGUUCAGCGUGGCCGAGGGCCGCACCCGAGGCCGCGCCGCCAUCCACCUGGCGUUCCUCCUGGGUGACAGCGUCCUCAUGGUGGUCACCUGGUGGACUCACAUCCCCUGGCUGCCCAGUGGGAUCCCCGUGCGGAUGCUGCUGCCCGCGAGCGGCAUCUGCUUCCUUUUGGGGCUGGCUCUGCGGCUUGUGUACUACCACUGGCUGCACCCGAGCUGCCGCUGGGAGCCUGACCGGGUGGAUGGGACCCAGGGCCUCCACCCCGUCGAGUGGCGUCGGCUGCCUCACAACAGGCGCAUGGCCCAGUUGGCGCGGUGCUUCUUCCCCAGGGUGAGGGAUGAGGCUGCUUUGCCGUGGAAGGGAGACGUGAAUGGGGUCCUUUGAGGCAAGGCCAGACCCCGCAGGCACGGAGCAGAUGGAAUCUGGUAGAAUGCAGAAGCUAAGCUGCUGCUGCUGCGGGCCUUGAUGCUCUCAGAGGCGCUUGAUGCCCCACGUGCCAGGCGCUGGACACCAGAGUUGAGUAAAGACACAGGCCUGCCUUGGAGGAUGAGAACAGAUGAGAACAGCAGGGCCCUGGGGAGGCGAGGGCUCCAGUUAUGGUACAAGACACUUCGGGAGGAAAGAAGAGACCCCCCCUUCCCCCCCUCACCCCGACCCACCAGUAGAGCCUGUGCCCCGAAGCUCCUAGAGAUGGUAUUUUCACCUCCCUGGCCACCUCUGCAAUAGUUGAUGGAGGUGCUGUCCCACCACUUGGCCACCCGACCCUGGGCUAGAAGGUUCCCAGUCUCCAGGAUAUGUUCACAGUUCUUCCUCUCCGCCUUGCCUGUCAUCCAUUCAUCCAACAGAUGUUGGCUGAGAGCACUUUUUGUGCCGGGAAUAUUCUAUCCUUGGAGGCUGGAACAAGACUAGCUGCCAACGGAGCUUUAUCCCUUACCCUCUCCAGCUACUCCUGAGCGGCGGUCACGCCGGAAGCCGGGGAUGUCCGGCUCGUGGCCCCGUCAGCCUCCCCGAGGCCUCCGUGCAGCCAGCCCGGCCUCUGGCCCUGCUCUCAAGCGGCCUCCUUUCAACCAAGUGCUGUGAGCCUGUGAUCUGGGCAUGGCUCAGCCCGUUAUUUUUCUACUUUAGGAAGUAUACUUUCUACCUCAGAGUCCGUGUGAGAGGAAGAGAGGGCGUGUGCAUAUGUGUCUCAGCAGAGUUUAAAGGCACCUGGAAAGAAGGGUCAGGGAUAUGAAGUCCACCCUUAAAAUUGGUGGGCUUCUGAACCCAGAUCGGGGCCGACUCCAGUGUGUGCUGUUUACCAGCUUUGCUGAGAGGCCCGGCAGGAGGAGCCGCAACGCCUCUGGGACCAGGACGUGAAUCCUAGAGCCCGGUGAAGAAAGAAAGACAGCCAGCGAGAGAGGGAACACAAGCAGGGGGAGUGGGAGAGGAAGAAGCAGGCUCAUAGCAGAGGAGCCCGAUGUGGGGCUCGAUCCCACAACGCCGGGACCACCCCGAGCCGAAGGCAGACGCUCAACCGCUGUGCCACCCAGGCGCCCCAAGAACUUCUUUUAAAGGUCAAGAAAGUUGCUUUUGAAGAAUAAAACCAUCCUGAAUUACUGAUUUUUACCUGUCAGCAAAAGGUUUUUGAGAAAUGUGCAUAUAUUUACUAGAGGGGAGAUGGAGAUGUUUACUCCUAGGGCUUGAAAAGCAGAUAACACUCCAGUAUUUGUACUUAUGACCAAGUAAAGAUGUAACAACUAACAAGUUUGCUUCAGCUAGGAUGUUGUUCAAAAUGUGUACAUUCUGAUGAAAAAAAUUAAUGCCUAGAAUACAAGGCAACCCCCUUUUCUUUUUUUUUUAAGAUUUUAUUAAUUUAUUUGACAGAGAGACAGCCAGC